This 27-nucleotide small RNA is filed under the name Bombyx mori (domestic silkworm). Its description in RNAcentral is "ovarian small RNA-9653". The record is from RNAcentral. Lineage: Eukaryota; Metazoa; Arthropoda; Insecta; Lepidoptera; Bombycidae.
UUCGUUAUAGCCGACGUCGGCAAGCCU